This 239-nucleotide long non-coding RNA is filed under the name Dasypus novemcinctus (nine-banded armadillo). RNAcentral's name for it is "lncRNA (ENSDNOG00000049859.1)". The record is from RNAcentral. Lineage: Eukaryota; Metazoa; Chordata; Mammalia; Cingulata; Dasypodidae.
AAUGGUUUCAUAACCAAACAGUUCCCGUAUAAGGUGUCCUCCACGAGAAGUACAGAGACAUUGCAGGGGAGAGCUAUGAGACUCGUUCUUUGUGACCCGGGUGUGACCAGUGGAUGAGCUGCCUGGAUUCUGACUCCACAUAAGAAGUGUCUGAUCGUAGGAUGCAUGGACUACCUUUAGAGCUGGGCAGCCAGCCUGGCAUGGGGUCCCUGCUCAGAGGAUCGAGCUUCUGCUGGGCC